CCUACGGGUGGCAGCAGUCGAGAAUCAUUCACAAUGGGGGAAACCCUGAUGGUGCGACGCCGCGUGGGGGAAUGAAGGUCUUCGGAUUGUAAACCCCUGUCAUGUGGGAGCAAAUUAAAAAGAUAGUACCACAAGAGGAAGAGACGGCUACCGCUGUGCCAGCAGCCGCGGUAAUACAGAGGUCUCAAGCGUUGUUCGGAAUCACUUGGCGUAAGGCGUGCGUAGGCUGUUUCGUAAGUCGUGUGUGAAACGCGCGGUCUCAACCCGCGGACGGCACAUGAUACUGCGAGACUAGAGUAAUGGAGGGGGAACCGGAAUUCUCGGUGUAGCAGGGAAAUGCGUAGAUAGCGAGAGGAACACUCGUGGCGAAGGCGGGUUCCUGGACAUUAACUGACGCUGAGGCACGAAGGCCAGGGGAGCGAAAGGGAUUAGAUACCCUUGUAGUC
This 446-nucleotide ribosomal RNA is filed under the name uncultured bacterium. RNAcentral's name for it is "partial 16S ribosomal RNA". It matches the Rfam family "Bacterial small subunit ribosomal RNA", at positions 338 to 795 of the family's 1533-position model. The record is from RNAcentral.